AAAGUUGCAUUUAAUACCUGCUGUAAAGUUUAAAUGCUCUGGUGUGUUACAGGGGGAACCAGGUCCUGACGGCAUUGCUGGCUUUCCUGGAGAUCGUGGCCUGCAGGGGAAACCAGGGAAAGAUGGGCCACCAGGUCCCAAAGGAGAUGAUGGAGAAAGUGGAAUUGAAGGGGAAAUAGGGGAGCCUGGUCUACCAGGACCUGCAGUA
This is a long non-coding RNA of Pygocentrus nattereri (red-bellied piranha), 208 nucleotides long. The record is from Ensembl. NCBI's taxonomy places the organism in Eukaryota, Metazoa, Chordata, Actinopteri, Characiformes, Serrasalmidae.